RNAcentral lists this long non-coding RNA (1144 nucleotides) under Sus scrofa (pig). RNAcentral describes it as "lncRNA (ENSSSCG00025019390.1)". Lineage: Eukaryota; Metazoa; Chordata; Mammalia; Artiodactyla; Suidae. The record is from RNAcentral.
UUUUUUUUUUUUUUUUGUUUUUUUUUUGUUUUUUUUGUUUUUUUGUCUUUUUGUCUUUUAUAGGGCCACACUCGUGGCAUAUGGAGCCCUAGAAAAGGCAAAAAGACAAAAAAAAACAAAAAACAAAAAACACUCAGAUGAGGUUAUUAUUAUUGGCAGUGUAUGCAUGGCAAUGAGAGAUAGUAAAUAGAAAAAAAUAAAAACAGAAAGACAAAAAAACCAUGUGAACACAGCUUUUAUUUUUCUGGCAAGGAAACUCCACUUUUUCUUUUUUAGCUAAAGGUGCGUUCGCAGGGAGUCUCCGUGUGCUUUUAGAGAGCCAGUGUUGUCUAUGCUAUUCCCUCAGACAUUGCCUCAGUGUGGCCCCACAGAGGUGUGCCCUGAAUUGGGUGGGAGAGCCAUCGCCUGAGCUUCUCCCUCAUUAACGCCUGACCUGAUGCAUCACAGGAUGCAAAGCUUUGGAGGACUGUUCACCGGCCCUGCACAUAUUGAGCAGGCACUGCAAAUGCUGUGGCCCACAAAUACUCUUAACAGGAGCCAAAGUACCUCCUGGGAAUUCACAAAGGUGGUUUGAGUACAUGGUCUACGUCGAGGUCUAACAAAUAAGGUUUAAAACCUUCAGGAGCUCUAAGGGAUUUCAGUAAUAUGGGCAAAGGAUUGAAUGAAUGAUACUCAGCCAGGAUCCCAUUCCCUACGGUCAUCAAUCAUAAAUGAACAUGAUGGUAUUCCAUCUCUUUGAUCACACCUGCUCAUUGGAGGUGGAGGUGCAACUUAAUCUACUAUGGCCACUGGUAUAGCCCCUAGCUUUGGCUUCCUAGCACUAUCAGUCAUACCUGUGUAUCAUACAUGGACCAUUGCACAACCUUCCCCCACACCCAAAUUAGAUUUUCAGCUUCUCCAGUGUUUUGGGGAUUUAAAAACACAGUUUUUUUUCUUAAAAACUUCCUAGUAUAUCAAUAGUGAGCAAAUACUCAAAAGAUAUUUGUGGCUAAUGAUGGCAUAUGUAUCUACUUAUUAAUUUUAAUAAAUACCAGGUAUGUGUCAAGUUCAAGGCAUAUGGAAUUUGUUACGAAUCUUACCCUUCAUCAGCAUAUAGUUUUUAAUAAGCCAUAUUCUAUUUGGCUUGUGCCAGAGAAAAAACUUG